This 468-nucleotide ribosomal RNA is filed under the name uncultured bacterium. RNAcentral's name for it is "partial 16S ribosomal RNA". It matches the Rfam family "Bacterial small subunit ribosomal RNA", at positions 28 to 507 of the family's 1533-position model. The record is from RNAcentral.
GACGAACGCUGGCGGCGUGCUUAACACAUGCAAGUCGAACGGAAAGGCCCUGCUUUUGUGGGGUGCUCGAGUGGCGAACGGGUGAGUAACACGUGAGUAACCUGCCCUUGACUUUGGGAUAACUUCAGGAAACUGGGGCUAAUACCGGAUAGGAGCUCCUGCUGCAUGGUGGGGGUUGGAAAGUUUCGGCGGUUGGGGCUGGACUCGCUGCUUAUCCGCUUGUUGGUGGGGUAGUGGCUUACCAAGGUUUUGACGGGUAGGCGGCCUGAGAGGGUGACCGGCCACAUUGGGACUGAGAUACGGCCCAGAAUCCUACGGGAGGCAGCAGUGGGGAAUAUUGCACAAUGGGCGGAAGCCUGAUGCAGCAACGCCGCGUGCGGGAUGACGGCCUUCGGGUUGUAAACCGCUUUCGCCUGUGACGAAGCGUGAGUGACGGUAAUGGGUAAAGAAGCACCGGCUAACUACGUG